This 455-nucleotide ribosomal RNA is filed under the name uncultured bacterium. RNAcentral describes it as "bacterial SSU rRNA". It matches the Rfam family "Bacterial small subunit ribosomal RNA", at positions 69 to 518 of the family's 1533-position model. The record is from RNAcentral.
CAGCACAAGGAGCAAUCUGAGGUGGCGACCGGCGCACGGGUGAGUAACACGUAUGCAACCUGCCUGUAAGCGGGGAAUAACCCGUUGAAAGACGGACUAAUACCGCAUAAUACUAAAUUACUGCAUGGUAAUUUAUUUAAACAUUUAUGGCUUACAGAUGGGCAUGCGCAUGAUUAGCUAGUUGGAGAGGUAACGGCUCCCCAAGGCAACGAUCAUUAGGGGUUCUGAGAGGAAGGUCCCCCACACUGGUACUGAGACACGGACCAGACUCCUACGGGAGGCAGCAGUGAGGAAUAUUGGUCAAUGGACGAGAGUCUGAACCAGCCAAGUCGCGUGCAGGAAGAAUGUCCUAAUGGAUUGUAAACUGCUUUUGCAGGGGGAAUAAAGUGCAUCACGUGUGAUGUUUUGUAUGUACUCUGCGAAUAAGGAUCGGCUAACUCCGUGCCAGCAGCUGC